This 618-nucleotide ribosomal RNA is filed under the name Triticum aestivum (bread wheat). RNAcentral's name for it is "partial small subunit ribosomal RNA". The record is from RNAcentral. Lineage: Eukaryota; Viridiplantae; Streptophyta; Magnoliopsida; Poales; Poaceae.
AUGCUUUACGGCUUAGAACCGGGUCUUCAACGACGUUUUGAACGUAAUGGAGCAUAUGAGAUGUUCCAGGAGUUGAAGUUAAUAUUUCAAGCAAAUGCCCGGAUUGAGAGAUAUGAAGUCUCCAAUAAGUUCUACAGCUGCAAGAUGGAGGAGAAUAGUUCUGUUAGUGAGCAUAUACUCAAAAUGUCUAGGUAUAAUAAUCACUUGAUUCAACUGGGAGUUAAUCUUCCGGAUGAUAGCGUCAUUGACAGAACUCUCCAAUCACUGCCACCAAGCUACAAGAGCUUUGUGAUGAACUAUAAUAUGCAAGGGAUGAACAAGACUAUUCCCGAGCUCUUCGCAAUGCUAAAAGCUGCGGAGGUAGAAAUCAAGAAGGAGCAUCAAGUGUUGAUGGUCAACAAUACCACUAGUUUCAAGAAAAAGGGCAAAGGGAAGAAGAAGGGGAACUUCAAGAAAAACAGCAAGCAAGUUGCUGCUCAAGAGAAGAAACCCAAGUCUGGACCUAAGCCUGAAACGGAGUACUUCUACUGCAAGCAGACUGGUCACUGGAAGCGGAACUGCCCCAAGUAUUUGGCGGAUAAGAAGGAUGGCAAAGUGAACAAAUGGACUACAGAAUAA